GAUAGCUCAGUUGGUAGAGCAAAUGACUGUUAAUCAUUGGGUCGCAGGUUCGA
RNAcentral lists this transfer RNA (53 nucleotides) under Diaphanoeca grandis. RNAcentral describes it as "partial tRNA". It matches the Rfam family "tRNA", at positions 7 to 56 of the family's 71-position model. From Rfam's summary of the family: Transfer RNA (tRNA) molecules are approximately 80 nucleotides in length. Lineage: Eukaryota; Choanoflagellata; Acanthoecida; Stephanoecidae. The record is from RNAcentral.